Molecule: ribosomal RNA, 423 nt
Filed under: uncultured bacterium
Lineage: Bacteria
Description: partial 16S ribosomal RNA
Rfam family: Bacterial small subunit ribosomal RNA
Source: RNAcentral
GAAUUUUGGACAAUGGGCGACAGCCUGACCCAGCAAUGCCGCGCGCAGGAUGAAGGCCUUCGGGUCGUAAACCGCUUUUGUACGGAACGAAAAGCUUUGGGUUAAUACCCUGGAUUCAUGACGGUCCGGUAAGACUAAGCACCGGCCAACCACGGCCCAGAAGCCGCGGUAAUACGUAGGGUGCAAGAGUUAAUCGGAACUACUGGGCGUAAAGCGUGCGCAGGCGGUUGUGUAAGACAGAGGUGAAAUCCCCGGGCUCAACCUGGGAACUGCCUUUGUGACUGCAAGGCUAGAGUACGGCAGAGGGGGGUGGAAUUCCGCGUGUAGCAGUGAAAUGCGUAGAUAUGCGGAGGAACACCGAUGGCGAAGGCAACCCCCUGGGCCUGUACUGACGCUCAUGCACGAAAGCGUGGGGAGCAAACA